GUUUCCCUAUAAUGCAGUGGUUUUGGUGCGUAGAUGCUUGUAAUAUUUGCAUAUGUAAUUUCCAACCAAUCACAUUUAUUUUCACCUCACUGCUGUAUUUAAUAAACCGUCACCCGGUUAGCUACAACUGGCAUCCUAGCAUUACUGGUACACACGCUUCAUUAACACGACAACAAAAAUAUUACAUGGUGUCAGAAAGAAACGUAUCUCUUCUAUCGACAUGGAUGCAGCUGGAGUUCCUCCGCCCAUGAUGAACUGGGAAGCAAGUAACUUGCCUGACACAUGGCGGACGUUCACACGCAAAUUC
This is a non-coding RNA of Pelobates cultripes (western spadefoot toad), 307 nucleotides long. Lineage: Eukaryota; Metazoa; Chordata; Amphibia; Anura; Pelobatidae. The record is from the annotation of a GenBank genome assembly.